RNAcentral lists this ribosomal RNA (566 nucleotides) under uncultured archaeon. RNAcentral describes it as "bacterial SSU rRNA". It matches the Rfam family "Archaeal small subunit ribosomal RNA", at positions 326 to 896 of the family's 1478-position model. The record is from RNAcentral.
CGGGGUGCACCAGGCGCGAAAACUUUACAAUGCGGGAAACCGUGAUAAGGGGACACCGAGUGCCAGCAUCAUAUGCUGGCUGUCCAGAUGUGUAAAAUACAUCUGUUAGCAAGGGCCGGGCAAGACCGGUGCCAGCCGCCGCGGUAACACCGGCGGCCCGAGUGGUGAUCGUGAUUAUUGGGUCUAAAGGGUCCGUAGCCGGUUUGGUCAGUCCUCCGGGAAAUCUGAUAGCUCAACUAUUAGGCUUUCGGGGGAUACUGCCAGACUUGGAACCGGGAGAGGUAAGAGGUACUACAGGGGUAGGAGUGAAAUCUUGUAAUCCCUGUGGGACCACCUGUGGCGAAGGCGUCUUACCAGAACGGGUUCGACGGUGAGGGACGAAAGCUGGGGGCACGAACCGGAUUAGAUACCCGGGUAGUCCCAGCCGUAAACGAUGCUCGCUAGGUGUCAGACAUGGCGCGACCGUGUCUGGUGCCGCAGGGAAGCCGUGAAGCGAGCCACCUGGGAAGUACGGCCGCAAGGCUGAAACUUAAAGGAAUUGGCGGGGGAGCACAAGGGCGAAUCGC